GUCAGCCGCCGCGGUAAUACCGGCGGCUCGAGUGGUGGCCGCUUUAUUGGGCUUAAAGCGUCGUAGCUGGGUCGUUAAGUCUCUUGGGAAAUCCGGCAGCUUAACUGUCGGGCGUCUAAGAGAUACUGGCGAUCUUGGAACCGGGAGAGGUGAGGGGUACUUCGGGGGUAGGAGUGAAAUCCUGUAAUCCUCGAGGGACCACCUGUGGCGAAGGCGCCUCACCAGAACGGCUUCGACAGUGAGGGACGAAAGCUGGGGGAGCAAACCGGAUUAGAUACCCGGGUAGUCCCAGCCGUAAACGAUGUGCGUUAGGUGUAUCGACGACCACGAGUCGUCGGGGUGCCGAAGGGAAACCGUGAAACGUACCGCCUGGGAAGUACGGUCGCAAGGCUGAAACUUAAAGGAAUUGGCGGGGGAGCACCACAACAGGUGGAGCCUGCGGUUUAAUUGGACUCAACGCCGGGAAGCUCACCGGAUAAGACAGCUGAAUGAUUGCCGGGCUGAAGACUCUGCAUGACUAGCUGAGAGGAGGUGCAUGG
RNAcentral lists this ribosomal RNA (539 nucleotides) under uncultured archaeon. Its description in RNAcentral is "bacterial SSU rRNA". It matches the Rfam family "Archaeal small subunit ribosomal RNA", at positions 457 to 997 of the family's 1478-position model. The record is from RNAcentral.